UAGGGAAUCUUCGGCAAUGGACGAAAGUCUGACCGAGCAACGCCGCGUGAGUGAAGAAGGUUUUCGGAUCGUAAAACUCUGUUGUUAGAGAAGAACAAGGACGUUAGUAACUGAACGUCCCCUGACGGUAUCUAACCAGAAAGCCACGGCUAACUACUUGCCAGCAGCCGCGGUAAUACGCAGGUGGCAAGCGUUGUCCGGAUUUAUUGGGCGUAAAGCGAGCGUCGGCGGUUUCUUAAGUCUGAUGUGAAAGCCCCCGGCUCAACCGGGGAGUGUCAUUGGAAACUGGGAGACUUGGGUGCAGAAGAGGAGAGUGGAAUUCCAUGUGUAGCGGUGAAAUGCGUAGAUAUAUGGAGAAACACCAGUGGCGAAGGCGGCUCUCUGAUCAGUAACUGACGCUGAGGCUCGAAAGCGUGGGGAGCAAACAGG
This 429-nucleotide ribosomal RNA is filed under the name Gemmatimonadota bacterium. RNAcentral's name for it is "Gemmatimonadetes bacterium partial 16S ribosomal RNA". It matches the Rfam family "Bacterial small subunit ribosomal RNA", at positions 355 to 776 of the family's 1533-position model. The record is from RNAcentral. Lineage: Bacteria; Pseudomonadati; Gemmatimonadota.